This 1047-nucleotide ribosomal RNA is filed under the name Triticum aestivum (bread wheat). Its description in RNAcentral is "partial small subunit ribosomal RNA". The record is from RNAcentral. Lineage: Eukaryota; Viridiplantae; Streptophyta; Magnoliopsida; Poales; Poaceae.
AUGGCUGACGAGCAAUGGAGAGUGCCGAUGGUGGUGCAAGAGCUGGCGGCCAGCGUCAAGGAGCCUCCAAGUCAGUACGUCUUGGGGGAGCAAAACCGUCUGCUUGUGGUGGAUCAGAUGGCAGAGUCUGUCCCUAUCAUCGAUCUCAGCCGUCUGGCGGCCGCCGACGAGGCUGACAAGCUCCGGGCGGCUCUGCAGAGCUGGGGGCUCUUUCAGGUUACAAACCAUGGCAUAGAGUCCUCUCUGAUGGAUGAUGUGAUCACCGCAGCUAAAGCAUUUUUUCACCAGCCCCUGGAAGAAAAACAGAAAUGCAGCAACCUACUGGACGGUAAGCAUUUCCAGGUGGAAGGAUACGGCAAUGACCAAAUUAAAACCCAGCAUCAAACCCGGGACUGGUCCGAUCGACUGCAUCUCAAAGUGGGGCCAGAGGAUGAGAUAAAUCUUGCUAAUUGGCCCAAACAUCCCGAAUCAUUCAGGGAUGUUCUACAAGAGUACACAGCAAAAAGCAAGAGGAUAAAACACAUUAUCCUUGGGACAAUGGCCAGGCUUCUGGAGCUUGAGGAAGAUUACUUCCUUAACCAAUUUAGCGACAAGGCUCCCACAACUGUUAGGAUCAACCACUACGUGCCAUGUCCGACACCUGAUAUCGUCCUUGGCUUCAAGGCUCACUCGGACGACGGCGUUCUGGCGACUCUUCUCGUGGACAACGAUGUUCCUGCGCUGCAGGUUCUCAGAGACGGCGUGUGGUACGGCGUCCCGACCAACCCUCGUUCCUUGCUGGUCAACAUGGGAGACUUCAUGGAGGUAAUGAGCAAUGGGAUAUUCAAGAGCCCAGUCCACAGGGUUGUGGCAAAUGCUGAGACGGAGAGGACCUCCAUAGCCAUGUUCUACGGCCUAGAUCCUGAGAAGGUGAUCGAGCCAGCGGCUGAUCUGUUACAUCAGAAGCAACCGGCACGGUACAAGAAAGUGAAAACCAAAGAUUACAUGGCCGGAUUCUAUGAACACUUUGCUCGAGGAACUAGGGUUCUCGACUCUAUGAAGGUCUAA